This 472-nucleotide ribosomal RNA is filed under the name uncultured bacterium. RNAcentral's name for it is "partial 16S ribosomal RNA". It matches the Rfam family "Bacterial small subunit ribosomal RNA", at positions 30 to 507 of the family's 1533-position model. The record is from RNAcentral.
AGUGAACGCUGGCGGUAGGCCUAACACAUGCAAGUCGAACGGCAGCACAGUAAGAGCUUGCUCUUACGGGUGGCGAGUGGCGGACGGGUGAGGAAUACAUCGGAAUCUACUUUUUCGUGGGGGAUAACGUAGGGAAACUUACGCUAAUACCGCAUACGACCUACGGGUGAAAGCAGGGGAUCUUCGGACCUUGCGCGAGUGAAUGAGCCGAUGUCUGAUUAGCUAGUUGGCGGGGUAGAGGCCCACCAAGGCUAGGAUCGGUAGCCGGACUGAGAGGGUGACCGGCCACAUUGGGACUGAGAUACGGCCCAGACGCCUACGGGAGGCAGCAGUGGGGAAUAUUGCACAAUGGGCGGAAGCCGGAUGCAGCAACGCCGGGUGCGGGAUGACGGCCUUCGGGUUGUAAACCGCUUUCGCCUGUGACGAAGCGUGAGUGACGGUAAUGGGUAAAGAAGCACCGGCUAACUACGUG